GACGAACGCUGGCGGCGUGCUUAACACAUGCAAGUCGAACGGAAAGGCCCUGCUUUUGUGGGGUGCUCGAGUGGCGAACGGGUGAGUAACACGUGAGUAACCUGCCCUUGACUUUGGGAUAACUUCAGGAAACUGGGGCUAAUACCGGAUAGGAGCUCCUGCUGCAUGGUGGGGGUUGGAAAGUUUCGGCGGUUGGGGAUGGACUCGCGGCUUAUCAGCUUGUUGGUGGGGUAGUGGCUUACCAAGGCUUUGACGGGUAGCCGGCCUGAGAGGGUGACCGGCCAAAUUGGGACUGAGAUACGGCCCAGACUACUACGGGAGGCAGCAGUGGGGAAUAUUGCACAAUGGGCGGAAGCCUGAUGCAGCAACGCCGCGUGCGGGAUGAAGGCCUUCGGGUUGUAAACCGCUUUCGCCUGUGACGAAGCGUGAGUGACGGUAAUGGGUAAAGAAGCACCGGCUAACUACGUG
RNAcentral lists this ribosomal RNA (468 nucleotides) under uncultured bacterium. RNAcentral's name for it is "partial 16S ribosomal RNA". It matches the Rfam family "Bacterial small subunit ribosomal RNA", at positions 28 to 507 of the family's 1533-position model. The record is from RNAcentral.